UACGUAGGGGGCAAGCGUUAUCCGGAAUUACUGGGUGUAAAGGGUGAGUAGGCGGCACUGUAAGUAAGAUGUGAAAGCCUUAGGCUUAACCUGAGGAUUGCAUUAUAAACUGCAGAGCUAGAGUGCAGGAGAGGAAAGCGGAAUUCCUAGUGUAGCGGUGAAAUGCGUAGAUAUUAGGAAGAACACCAGUGGCGAAGGCGGCUUUCUGGACUGAAACUGACGCUGAGGCACGAAAGCGUGGGGAGCGAACAGG
RNAcentral lists this ribosomal RNA (253 nucleotides) under uncultured bacterium. Its description in RNAcentral is "partial 16S ribosomal RNA". It matches the Rfam family "Bacterial small subunit ribosomal RNA", at positions 524 to 776 of the family's 1533-position model. The record is from RNAcentral.